This is a long non-coding RNA of Pseudoliparis swirei, 437 nucleotides long. RefSeq lists it as uncharacterized. NCBI's taxonomy places the organism in Eukaryota, Metazoa, Chordata, Actinopteri, Perciformes, Liparidae. The transcript is spliced from 2 exons. The record is from RefSeq and is a predicted model, not a curated record.
AGAACGAUGACAUCAUUACACCUGAACCAGAACGAUGACAUCAUUACACCUGAACCAGUACACCUGGUGACAUCAUGGGGGUCAGCCUGUCAUCGGCCAGCGUGAGCUGCUUAUCACAACCCGGAGCACGUGCACUAAACUACCCGGCAACGACUCCCGAAGCCUCCAGAGCUCAUCCAGAAUACCCAGAUCUUCAUCUCCCUCCUCCUCAUCAUCAUCGGCUCUCGAGGACAAAUCAACAAAGUACUUUUAUUUUUUGCAUCCUCUGUCACUUGUUAUCAGAGUUCAUUGGAGUGUUUACAUGUGAAACUCCUCUAAGAGGAAGACUUUGGGGAUGAAGAGGAGGCGUUGCUCCUCCUGCAUCGUUCAAUCUAAGAGGUUUUAAUCUAUUUUAACUCGUCUUCUUUCAUUCUAGAGGAAAUAAAACAUUUAUUUUA